Molecule: long non-coding RNA, 4945 nt
Organism: Bombyx mori (domestic silkworm)
Lineage: Eukaryota; Metazoa; Arthropoda; Insecta; Lepidoptera; Bombycidae
Exons: 5
Source: RefSeq, a predicted model, not a curated record
AGAAUAUUAAGUUCUUUCAACUGCUAUUCGUAAAAUUACCCUAAUUUUUUCCAUGUUCGUUAAAAUAAUUAAAUACAAAGCGAAUAAUUUCCACUUAUAAAUUUUAUCUAUAUAUAUAAAAAUGAAUUGCUGUUCGUUAGUCUCGCUAAAACUCGAGACUGGCUGGACCGAUUUGGCUAAUUUUGGUCUUGAAUCAUUUGUAGAAGCCCAGAGGCUUAAAAGGUGGAUAAAUAUGAAAAUGUUCGGCAUGAAAUAAAAAUAACAAUUUUGUUUUCCCUUUGAUGUGUCCCCCGUCGGACGGAUUUCUUUUGUUUGUUUCUAGUUUAUUUUAUAAAAUGUUUAGGGAUUUUUAUUUAUCGAUUUAGGCAAUACGAAGUCUGCCGGGUCAGCUAGUUUUAUAUAGAUUUUAAACUAUACAAAAUCUCAUUUAGUUGUUUGUUAUGUAUUCUAAUCAAAAGUAAUUUAUCUUUAACGGCCUAGUUUAAAUUAUAGCUAGAAAUUAGGUUUUUCCAUAGCCACGGCUUUUGAAGGAUAUUAAUACAUACCUCAUUAAAUUGUUUAUUUAUUCUGAAAUAAAAUAAAGGUUACGCUUAAUUUGAACAAACAAAUAAUCACGUGGAGAAUCUAAGAGUUCAUUGACUUUAGAUGUAGCGAACAGCGUUAUUUCCUUUCAUUACGAACGUUUACCCCUUCGGAUGACUAGACGAAUAUUGGGCUGCCCUAAUUACGUGUUAGUUCGUACUUAGGGGUUAAAAUUUAAUUGUAGCAGGUUUUGUUACGGCAGCCAUGGCGUUUUUUUUUUAAAAUACGAAUGGUUUUGAAAUACUGCCAAACAUUAAAAUACUUUGAGCCUUGGUUCAGAAAUGAGAAAUCAUUUAAUAUUUGUUUCAUGUUAUGUAAUAGAUUUGUAGUGAGCCUGGUACGCUCAUGCAAACAACCGCCAAUUUGACUUGGUCGGUCCAUCGCAAGGGCAACCUUACACGCGGUCUGGUGCCUUCUACUUUGGCCUGAACGACACAGGCGCUCUAUUGAGUCAUUCCUCGCCGGGAGAUAUGUCCGAAAAAUGAUUUCUCGUGAGGUGCAUAACAUCUGCCCACAGUAAUGGUACUGAAUGACUAUCAUGACCGCUCUGACAAGAGUGAUAUGACAUAGGAAAAAUUGUAAUAGGUAAUCUAAAUAAUAAUACGUCAGGUUUAACCUCAUCGAGUGAUGUAUACAUAUAAAAUUGAGAUUACGUCCACCAGACAGGAAUGAAUUAUCUUCAGUAAACACCUAACACGUGUGCGCGAACAGUUUUUACGAAUGUUAAUAUCGUGUAAUAAAAUGAAACCAGUAAAAUAUAUUAGAUUAGCGGCUUGAGAGUGGAAACGUGAAAUUCCGUAACGAAAAAAACCUUCCACCCUUCUGUUCCUAUCUGCAGCUGAGUGCAGAGCAUCGUGCACUGUGGUAUCCAGGGCUGCACGAAUCUGGUCCGUCCAACGGGUCGGGUUCCUGCCUCUUGGUCGCUUGCCCUCGACCUUUCCAGUGACCAUCAAUUUCUCUAAGUUGUCACUGUCUUUCCUUGCGAUGUGGCCAAAGUAUUCAAGAAUCCUUCGCAUGCAAAUGGUGGAGAGUCUAGUCCGGAUCUUCAACUGAGCUAGGAUGGAUAAAUUGGUACGGCGUGCGGUCCAGGGAAUACCCAACAUCCUCCUCCAGCACCACAUUUCGAAGGCAUCAAUCCGAUUGCGGUCAGCUUUCUUUAUAGUCCAUGUCUCUGCUCCGUAUAUGAAUAUUGAAAACACUAGUGUGCGGACUAGGUUGCUCUUGGUGUUCAUAGAGAUAUUUUUGUCCUUCCAUAUUUUGUCCAGCUGAGACAUGGCACCGUACCGUACCGUACCGUACCGUACCGUUUUGGUUUGCUUCGUUGAUGGAAUGUAUUUCGUAAUUCUCUGUUUGUGAUGGAGACGUAAUGUCAAUAAUCGUUAAUAUGAGGAAAAUGAAUUGCAAUUUUUGGUAAAUGGUAUUUUUUUUUAAUAAUCAUCAUAGUCUCUUAAAGGUCGUUUGGUUAUAUCACAUCGUAAACCCCGAAAGCCUGGCGAAUGAAAAUUCUAGAGGACGGAAUUACAGAGACCAUUCAAAACGCCUAUAUCCGUUGGGGGAACUGUUAAUUGUUCAAACGAAUGCACCGCUCGGGAGGGGGCUUCACAUCCGAUAACUCGUUUAACGUUAGCUGGAAUUUUCAGAAUAAGGAAAUUCGUUUGGCGCAUAUUUUCGACUCUCUAUAACUUACUGACCCAAACCUAACUCAGCGCCUUUGGGAUCGGUACGAUAAAUUUUGUUGAAAGGGUAAUUUAGAAAAAAAUAUCGAAAUGGUCUCGGAUGUUCGUAUUUGGCAUAUUUUUUUUUAGAUGCGAACGUGAUAAUUUGAAUGGCGGGGUAUUUGCCAUGCGUAAAGUCGACGUUAUGGAUCUGGGUUUUGAAUUCGGCACUUCGAGAAUAAGAGACGUUUAGAUUAACGGUCCUUGCGAAUAUUUAGUACAUACAUAUUUUUAUUACGUAAAAUGAAUAGCUUCUAAAAUUACUUUUUAAUUUAAACAUAGGUUAUGUUGAAAAUACAAGUCUGCAUCUAAAAACUACAUAUAACAAAAGCUCGAAUUAUUGCAUAACGGCUCUUCACCCUGGAAACCGUUAAAAAUUAAGCGAAUUACUGGUAGGAAGACGUCUUACAACUCAUGUCUCGAGGUGGGUGGCGGCAUUUAUGUUGUAGAUGUCUUUGGGCUCCAAUUAUAAAAAAAAAACAUUAAUUUUGCAAAUUUGACUUUUACUAAACGAUGUAAUUAAUUAAUUCAACGUGGAAGUCGACGUUUGCUAUCGCAUAUGCGUGCUAAAUUUUUUUCAGAAACGGCUUCAGUCGGAGGAUUUGAACUUCAGCUUACUACUUACUUACUUACUUACUACUUACUUACUUGCUUACUACACUAAGCAAGUUAUUAACUCUUUUCUUUUUUAAUUAUGUUUUCUUUAAGCCCACAAACAUUUCACAAUAGAUCUUAUUGAAAAUCAUGUCGUAACGCCGACAUACAUGUAGUCCUUUCUGUGUCUCAAGAAUUCGAUGACAGCUGUAGAUUUAUACAAAAAAAUUCGUCAGGCCAUCAUCGUCAGACAUUCGCGUCAGAACGAGAUAGAGAAUAAUGAAUUCGUUCAACUUAUUUCAAACAAUGUAUAAGAAAUUUUGUGGAAAGAAAAAAAAUCAAACUUAUUACGGCGAAUGUUAUUAACUUUCACCUUUAUUGCUAAAAUUAAAGAAGCUGUUUGACAUGGCAACACAGUCGAAACGGACUAGCGGCGCCGACGAGGUGUUGUUAUGUGUUCUGAGAUCACGUGCACGAUGCCCGUAUGUUCGGAGUACUCGCUAGAUCAGCCUUGCGAUUCUCUAAAAUUCAAACAAGAACUCGCAUCUCACUACGAAAUUCUCCAUCACUUCGCAUUCGCAAUAGAAUGACCUUGAUUUGGCAUUCUGUAAACACUAAUCUUAAUUACCCUGCCUCGAGCGAAGUGAAGUGACAACGAAGUUUGUUUAUAAUAUACUAGGGAUAGCCGUAUACGCGCAAAUGUAAAUCGAAGCUUACCGGUUUCAGUUUUUCGUUGUAUUUAUAAGCAUUCUGUAAGAAAAUACUAUGAAUUUAAGCUUUGGUGUCUAAGCCACAUCUAAUAUAUCUAAAAAGAAAAUUAAAAGUCAUAUAUUUAUGAAAUUAAUUGUAAUUUCUGGAUGUACGCUAAGUUCCUUUGCGUGCACUGGCGAAUACCAGAAUUAAAAAACAAAAUUUUAAUUGUUUUCAAAACAAUCUCAAGCAGUCGGAAGUUUUUAUUUUGCUUUUUCUAGAUUUUUUGUUACUUUGUGAGUGAAUUUAACGUUAAAUAAAAAUUAUGAGACUUAACGAGCGUUCUUCUCAUCCGACAUUGGUGCAAAUAGAGGCAUUGAUAGACUUUUGGAUUAAAAGCUAGCGAAACAAAAGGUUUAAUCGUAUCUCAACAUGUUCAAUAAGAUAACAAGGAUAUUAAAAAAUAUAGGAACUAAAUUCUCUUGUCAGAUAUGAUCCAUUCCCGGAGAGAUAUUUAGGACAUGUUAACAUCUAUUUAUGUAUGAUAAAUCUAUCUACUACGUUUUUAUUGAUAUUCUAUUUUAACAGGGAAUAUCAGUAAUUUAUCUGUAUCUCAAAUUCACUGACAAAAAAAAAUUAUAUUGAAUUAAAUAAAUCAAAUCAUUAACAAUUUAGGUAUUGCAAGUUGGAUUGAUGUUGUUGGAAUGUUUUUAUUGAUGCAGAGGUGACUGUAUUUAUGGUAAAGGGGGUGGCAGGCAGUUCCAGAGUAUUGACUAAACUGAAAUUAUGUAGGCUAAAGGCUGCAUACUCUGUUUAAAAUAAAUGAACAAAAUUAAGGCAUAACCUAUUUUAUUAUAUUUAAGGAACUACAACAGAUUGAAAAUACUAAUCCACAUCAUCAGAAUAUUGUAAGGAGAAUUUAUUGCCAACUCGGAAAAUGUAUCAGUAUUGGAACAAUCCCAAACAUACAGCAUUGCAUCAAGAAACCUAUUUUGCAGUCAUCCUCCCCUAACUAAAUGCAAGUGACUUCUACUUAUUGUGAUGCUACUACUAGUAGCUCCAGCCACAGUAGGUCUCAUGUUAGUCAAGAGAUUGGGUUGUUAGCACCUCAACACUUGACCUGCUAUUUCACCACUUUUCAAUGAAAAGCAGAGUGUACUCAAAUUACAACAAAUUACACAGUACCAGGAUAUAUAACUUAAACAACCAUGGGGGAAUAAAUAGUCGACAGUCUGCAAGAAGGAUGAACUGUUGGUGGAAUUAGCAUAUGCAGCUAGGAAUUUUAAACCUGUAUUUCCACAUAUUACUGAUGCAAAUUUCAAAAUUAUUGUAUAUAACUAUUGAAUAAAACUAUAAUAAAACUA